This 301-nucleotide ribosomal RNA is filed under the name uncultured bacterium. RNAcentral's name for it is "partial 16S ribosomal RNA". It matches the Rfam family "Bacterial small subunit ribosomal RNA", at positions 509 to 807 of the family's 1533-position model. The record is from RNAcentral.
CAGUCGCCGCGGUAAUACAGAGGGUGCAAGCGUUAAUCGGAAUUACUGGGCGUAAAGCGCGCGUAGGCGGCUUCUUAAGUCGGAUGUGAAAUCCCUGAGCUUAACUUAGGAAUUGCAUUCGAUACUGGGAAGCUAGAGUAUGGGAGAGGAUGGUAGAAUUCCAGGUGUAGCGGUGAAAUGCGUAGAGAUCUGGAGGAAUACCGAUGGCGAAGGCAGCCAUCUGGCCUAAUACUGACGCUGAGGUACGAAAGCAUGGGGAGCAAACAGGAUUAGAUACCCCCGUAGUCCCUGUCUCUUAUAC